AGAGUUUGAUCAUGGCUCAGGACGAACGCUGGCGGUGUGCUUCACACAUGCAAGUCGAGCGAAUGAAGUAGGUAGCUUGCUACUUAUGGAUUUAGCGGCGGACGGGUGAGUAAUAUAUAGGAAUCUGCCUUAGAGCGGGGAACAACAGACCGAAAGGUUUGCUAAUGCCCCAUAGGUAUGCAGUCUUCGGAUUGUAUAUUAAAGGAGUAAUCCACUCUAAGAUGAGCCUGUAUCCGAUUAGCUAGUUGGCGGGGUAAAGGCCCACCAAGGCUACGAUCGGUAGUUGGUCUGAGAGGAUGAUCAGCCACAAUGGGACUGAGACACGGCCCAUACUCCUACGGGAGGCAGCAGUGGGGAAUUUUACACAAUGGGGGAAACCCUGAUGUAGCGACACCGCGUGAACGAAGAAGCCUUUUGGGGUGUAAAGUUCUGUCGGUUGGAACGAAAAAAAUGACGGUACCAGCAAAGGAAGCAUCGGCUAACUACGUGCCAGCAGCCGCGGUAAGACGUAGGAUGCAAGCGUUGUCCGGAUUUAUUGGGCGUAAAGAGUUCGUAGGCGGUUAUUUAAGUCUGAUGUUAAAUACUGUGGCCCAACCACAGAACUGCAUUGGAUACUGGAUGACUUGAGUGCGGUAGAGGCAAGUGGAAUUCCCAGUGUAGCGGUGAAAUGCGUAGAUAUUGGGAAGAACACCAGUGGCGUAAGCGACUUGCUGGCCCGUAACUGACGCUGAGGAACGAAAGCCAGGGGAGCGAAUGGGAUUAGAUACCCCAGUAGUCCUGGCCGUAAACGAUGGAUACUAGCCGUUGUGGUAUCGACCCCUGCAGUGCCGCAGCUAACGCGAUAGUAUCCCGACUUGAGUAGUACCGGCGGCAAGAUUGUAAGCUUCGAAUGACUUGAACGGGGAGGUCUCUCGUG
RNAcentral lists this ribosomal RNA (916 nucleotides) under uncultured bacterium. RNAcentral describes it as "bacterial SSU rRNA". It matches the Rfam family "Bacterial small subunit ribosomal RNA", at positions 9 to 873 of the family's 1533-position model. The record is from RNAcentral.